UGGGUGGUCUUCGGGAGUGGGCCUGUGGAUCUCAGCAGUCAUGGCCAGCCACCUCGUGCUCUACACCGGUGCCAAGAUGCCCAUCAUGGGGCUGGGCACCUGGAAGUCCCCUCCAGGCAAAGUGACCGAGGCUGUGAAGAUGGCGAUUGACCUUGGGUACCACCACAUCGACUGUGCUCACGUGUACCAGAACAAGAAUGAGGUGGGGUUGGCCAUCCAGGAGAAGCUCAAGGAGCAGGUGGUGAAGCGUGAGGACCUCUUCAUCGUCAGCAAGCUGUGGUGCACAUUCCAUGAGAAGAGCAUGGUGAAGGGAACUUGCCAGAAGACGCUCAGUGACCUGAAGCUGGACUACCUGGACCUCUACCUUAUUCACUGGCCAACCAGCUUCAAGCACGGGAAGGAAUAUUUCCCACUGAAUGGGGAAGGCAAUGUGAUAUCCAGCGACACCAAUUUUGUGGACACGUGGGAGGCCAUGGAAGAGCUGAUGGAUGAAGGGCUGGUGAAAGCUAUUGGAGUCUCCAACUUCAACCAUCUCCAAGUCGAGAAGAUCUUAAACAAACCUGGCUUAAAAUAUAAGCCGGCUGUUAACCAGAUCGAGUGCCACCCGUAUCUCACUCAGGAGAAGUUAAUCCAGUACUGCCAGUCCAAAGGCAUCGUGGUGACUGCCUACAGCCCGCUCGGCUCUCCUGACAGGCCCUGGGCCAAGCCUGAGGACCCUUCCCUGUUGGAGGAUCCCAGGAUCAAAGCUAUCGCAGCCAAGCACAAGAAAACCACGGCGCAGGUUCUGAUCCGGUUCCCCAUGCAGAGGAAUUUGGUCGUGAUCCCCAAGUCCAUGACACCCGAACACAUUGCUGAGAACUUUCAGGUCUUUGACUUUGAACUGAGCAGCGUGGAUAUGACCACCUUACUCAGCUACAACCAGAACUGGUGGGUGUGUGCCUUGGUGAGCUGUGCUUCCCACAAGGACUAUCCCUUCAAUGCUGAGUUUUGAAGCUCUUGGUGCCUCUUCCCCUCCAGGUUGAGUCUACAGAGUUGAAAUAGUGCCACUAACGACUGGAUGUUGGCUGCUGGGAACUUUAACCCUUUCAUCCAGACUUCUUGCCUCAAAUAAAAGUUGUUUUGUG
Non-coding RNA from Callorhinus ursinus (northern fur seal), 1124 nucleotides. The record is from RefSeq and is a predicted model, not a curated record. NCBI's taxonomy places the organism in Eukaryota, Metazoa, Chordata, Mammalia, Carnivora, Otariidae.